AUUAGUUUAGUUUAUAUAAAACCUUAUAUUUUCAUUAUAAUAAUAUUCUUAGGAAUAACUAUUA
Molecule: transfer RNA, 64 nt
Filed under: Sminthurides bifidus
Lineage: Eukaryota; Metazoa; Arthropoda; Collembola; Symphypleona; Sminthurididae
Description: tRNA-Glu
Source: RNAcentral